GUCAGAACACAUCCCCUGAUUAGUCUAAUGUCCAUUUUUAAUUCACAUUAAACAGCUGAUGGAAGCUUACACAGAUUCUUGAGCUGAAUUUUCAUUAAUGCAAAUAUCAAAUGCAAAUAAGUUUAAUGGAAACCUCGCUAGAGUCCUCCUGAUAGUCAAAGGUUCCCACUUCAGUGUCAGAAUUAAAUGUACAUAUGUAAUUCUUUCCUUUUCCCAGGCCGAUAUGAUCUCAACUUGCCAGAGUUGAAAUGUGAGGUAUGCGAAGCCACAUGGCAUGCUGGAGUGGAUGAGCUGGUCCAUAAUGACUUCUGGCCUGCUACUUCACAAUUUUCUACAGUAUAUGCUACAGACAUCCUAUUUUCCUUUGAGGAGUUGAAGAUGGCAGCACCUGGGAUGUCCAGCCUAGCAUUUCUUAGAAUGCUAGAUAAACGAACUGUCCGCUUUGGCCGUACUGGAAAGAUCAUAGCAGACAGCUUCAGAAAAAGCUUUUUGGAGUUGGAGGCAGUCCGAUUUGAAGUGGACAAACUCAUCCAGGAAGACCACUUUAACUGCCCAGCAUGCACCCCACACAUGCUUGCGGUCUCUGUUGAUGGAAACCGUAAGCACUAUAGAUUCAAGAGUGCAGCAAGAUCAGAGGAACAAGCCAUCUUCGAUGGUGUAUUCAUAGCCAAGGACGAUGAUGUAGCAAGAUUCGUAGACUAUGUCCAUUCCUCAACCAGACAUGUAAACUUGCAAAACAUCACUAUAUUUACUUGUAAAACCAUGUCCUACAUAGGAGUUUGUUUGAACUGUUAGCCAUCUUCCAUGUUUUAGGCCUCUGGCAGAGGUGUCUGUGGGGGACAGUGGUCAGCAGCACGAGAAACGUCACAGAAGUCCUCCAGCAAAAUAGAUGAGGAGGGCCUAGAACUUGCAGUUUGCCGGCAUGGUGUUCUUCUUUGUGCCCUUAAUAAGUUCAGGGGGGAGGUUUUUGCUUACCCCCUGUACCUCCAGAAAAAAAUGGCUUGUAAGCCGGUGAAAUUCUUUGCUAUGGAUGUUGCGUGCAAGUACUGGCCUUACCUCCAGAGAGUGAAUGAGAGAUGCCCUGAGCUUCAAGAUCUGCUCUCCAUGAAGCCAUUUCUAUCAGUGUUUCAUGCCAAAGCCCACGACUUCAAAUGUGAGGUAAGAAAAUGUGACUUUUCAUGUGAUGUUCUUUCCCUAAACAUAAGAUUGUUGCCACUUAGAUUUAUUAUUUUUUUCUUUUUUAUUUGAAGGUAAAAUGGAGUGGGGCAUACCAGGAGGGGGCUGGUUUGACUCGUGGGGAGGAGGUGGAGCAAUGCAAUGCCUUCCUCUCGAGAAUUGCUGUUACCACAAAGCACAUGUCAAAAGCAGGUAAUGUAAACACACACAGUGUGUAACUAGUUUGAUCAAUCAAUCAAUCAAUCACCUUUAUUUAUAUAGUGCUUUAAACAAAAUACAUUGCGCCAAAGCACUGAACAACAUUCAUUUGGAAAACAGUGUCUCAAUAAUGCAAAAUGAUAGUUAAAGGCAGUUCAUCAUUGAAUUCAUUGAUGUCAUCUCUGUUCAGUUGAAAUAGUGUCUGUUUUAAUUUGCAAUCAAGUCAACGAUAUCGCUGUAGAUGAAGUGACCCCAACUAAGCAAGCCAGAGGCGACAGCGGCAAGGAACCGAAACUCCAUCGGUGACAGAAUGGAGAAAAAAACCUUGGGAGAAACCAGGCUCAGUUGGGGGGCCAGUUCUCCUCUGACCAGACGAAACCAGUAGUUCAAUUCCAGGCUGCAGCAAAGUCAGAUUGUGCAGAAGAAUCAUCUGUUUCCUGUGGUCUUGUCCUGGUGCUCCUCUGAGACAAGGUCUUUACAGGGGAUCUGUAUCUGGGGCUCUAGUUGUCCUGGUCUCCGCUGUCUUUCAGGGCAGUAGAGGUCCUUUCUAGGUGCUGAUCCACCAUCUGGUCUGGAUACGUACUGGAUCCGGGUGACUGCAGUGACCCUCUGAUCUGGACACAGACUGGAUCUGGUGGCCACGGUGACCUCGGAACAAGAGAGAAACAGACUAAUAUUAGUGUAGAUGCCAUUCUUCUAAUGAUGUAGUACAUCGGGUGUUAUGUGAAGUGUUCCGGUUCCAGUUUACCUAAUUAAUGCAGCCUAAAAAUCCUUUAACGGAUUUGGAUAUUAAAAGCAUAUUAGUAUGUUAUGUGUAUGCCGGGUUAAAGAGAUGGGUCUUUAAUCUAGAUUUAAACUGCAAGAGUGUGUCUGCCUCCCGAACAAUGUUAGGUAGGUUAUUCCAGAGUUUAGGCGCCAAAUAGGCGCCUAAACUCUUUGAUAAAGUGACUUUUCUCACACUUCUAUGAGAAGUGUUCAAACUACAGCAAAAUUUGAUCCU
RNAcentral lists this long non-coding RNA (2374 nucleotides) under Carassius auratus (goldfish). RNAcentral describes it as "lncRNA (ENSCARG00000047174.1)". Lineage: Eukaryota; Metazoa; Chordata; Actinopteri; Cypriniformes; Cyprinidae. The record is from RNAcentral.